Molecule: ribosomal RNA, 253 nt
Filed under: uncultured prokaryote
Description: partial 16S ribosomal RNA
Rfam family: Bacterial small subunit ribosomal RNA
Source: RNAcentral
UACGUAGGGUGCGAGCGUUAAUCGGAAUUACUGGGCGUAAAGCGUGCGCAGGCGGUGAUGUAAGACAGGUGUGAAAUCCCGGGGCUCAACCUCGGAACUGCAUUUGUGACUGCAUCGCUGGAGUGCGGCAGAGGGGGAUGGAAUUCCGCGUGUAGCAGUGAAAUGCGUAGAUAUGCGGAGGAACACCGAUGGCGAAGGCAGCCCCCUGGGUCGACACUGACGCUCAUGCACGAAAGCGUGGGGAGCAAACAGG